UACGAAGGGGACUAGCGUUGUUCGGAAUUACUGGGCGUAAAGCGCACGUAGGCGGAUUUGUUAGUCAGGGGUGAAAUCCCGGGGCUCGACCUCGGAACUGCCUUUGAUACUGCAAGUCUCGAGUCCGAUAGAGGUGGGUGGAAUUCCUAGUGUAGAGGUGAAAUUCGUAGAUAUUAGGAAGAACACCGGUGGCGAAGGCGGCCCACUGGAUCGGUACUGACGCUGAGGUGCGAAAGCGUGGGGAGCAAACAGG
This 253-nucleotide ribosomal RNA is filed under the name uncultured bacterium. RNAcentral's name for it is "partial 16S ribosomal RNA". It matches the Rfam family "Bacterial small subunit ribosomal RNA", at positions 524 to 776 of the family's 1533-position model. The record is from RNAcentral.